GAUGAACGCUGGCGGCGUGCUUAACACAUGCAAGUCGAACGGUGAAGCUCCAGCUUGCUGGAGUGGAUCAGUGGCGAACGGGUGAGUAACACGUGAGCAACCUGCCCCUGACUCUGGGAUAACAGCCGGAAACGGCUGCUAAUACCGGAUAUGCACCAUGAACGCAUGUUCUGUGGUGGGAAAGAUUUUUCGGUUGGGAAUGGGCUCGCGGCCUAUCAGCUUGUUGGUGAGGUAAUGGCUCACCAAGGCGUCGACGGGUAGCCGGCCUGAGAGGGUGACCGGCCACACUGGGACUGAGACACGGCCCAGACUCCUACGGGAGGCAGCAGUGGGGAAUAUUGCACAAUGGGCGAAAGCCUGAUGCAGCAACGCCGCGUGAGGGAUGACGGCCUUCGGGUUGUAAACCUCUUUUAGCAGGGAAGAAGCGAGAGUGACGGUACCUGCAGAAAAAGCGCCGGCUAACUACGU
RNAcentral lists this ribosomal RNA (468 nucleotides) under uncultured bacterium. RNAcentral's name for it is "partial 16S ribosomal RNA". It matches the Rfam family "Bacterial small subunit ribosomal RNA", at positions 28 to 506 of the family's 1533-position model. The record is from RNAcentral.